Molecule: long non-coding RNA, 493 nt
Organism: Galeopterus variegatus (Sunda flying lemur)
Lineage: Eukaryota; Metazoa; Chordata; Mammalia; Dermoptera; Cynocephalidae
Exons: 3
Source: RefSeq, a predicted model, not a curated record
CAGGUUGAUUUCCUCACCCUGGGAUCAGCAAGAAUGAAGGAACGAAGCUUCUGGUCUCCGGGGAUGGAGAGGUGCAAGAAGCUCUUUUCCACAGUUCUCCAUUCCUUGCCUGACUCAGGAAAUGCACCUGAUUUUGUGCUGGUUCCUACAGGAGCAUUUGCUGGAACAGGUGGUGGCUCAAUUUUUUGCUGCAAAUGGGAGAAGUUCAUAGAGACACUAAAUACCAGUUGUUUUCCAGCCAGCCUGGAGCUGCAGACUUGCAUAUACCAUCCAGACCUGGGAAACCAAGGAGGCUGUCAGUAAAGCUGUGCUGACUGCACCCUCCAGCAGGACCUGAGACAACAGCAAGGAUGGGAGCAGAAACCAGACCGAGCCGCGGGGAGACCUUGCACCUGGCUCCCUGCACGAAGCCUCUGAAGCUCACGUCCCCUCCCUCCUGUUUUCAUUUCCCACGUUCCACUCCCUCAGCCCCCUCUUUAAAAUCCCCUCAGUA